CCAGGUGGAUAUGGACUUGGGUGUGGAAAAAAAGUACAGUAGAGUGUCUUCGAAACUGAGAUACGGCAAAGAUUCACCAAACAGGACAUAAAGUAACUAACUGUAAUAGAAAAGACUAAUCGACUGAUUUCAUGAACAUUAAGAACUUGUGCUCAUCAACUGACACCAUGAAGAGAGAGACUAGGCAGGGGCCCUGCGUGGCUCAGUCGCACACAGACUGUUUCACUC
Callorhinus ursinus (northern fur seal) is the source of this 228-nucleotide non-coding RNA. Lineage: Eukaryota; Metazoa; Chordata; Mammalia; Carnivora; Otariidae. The record is from RefSeq and is a predicted model, not a curated record.